UAGGGAAUCUUCCACAAUGGGCGCAAGCCUGAUGGAGCAACACCGCGUGAGUGAAGAAGGGUUUCGGCUCGUAAAGCUCUGUUGUUAAAGAAGAACGUGGGUAAGAGUAACUGUUUACCCAGUGACGGUAUUUAACCAGAAAGCCACGGCUAACUACGUACCAG
RNAcentral lists this ribosomal RNA (164 nucleotides) under uncultured bacterium. RNAcentral's name for it is "partial 16S rRNA". It matches the Rfam family "Bacterial small subunit ribosomal RNA", at positions 355 to 511 of the family's 1533-position model. The record is from RNAcentral.